CAGUUCUUUUUGCUUCAUCUUAAGCCUCUGUUGGAAAGGAUCAGAGAGACACGUGACCCAGAACAAACUUUCGGGCAGCAUGAAGGAGCAGCAGGAUUCCCCUCAUGAUGCCUUCAGUUGCUGUAUUCUGUGGUUCCAGACUCUGGUGUUAACUUGUUGGGCAACCCUGAGCAAGUCAACCAGACUUUCCAGGUGCAGUGCUUCGUCAGGUGAAUGCGGAUCCAUCACUACUUGCCCAGACCUGAAAGACCUGAUCCAGACUACUCCUUGAGCCAGAAGUUAAAGUGCUCAUCCUUGGGCGCCUGGGCGGCUCAGUUGGUUAAGCGACUGCCUUCGGCUCAGGUCAUGAUCCU
Molecule: long non-coding RNA, 353 nt
Organism: Callorhinus ursinus (northern fur seal)
Lineage: Eukaryota; Metazoa; Chordata; Mammalia; Carnivora; Otariidae
Source: RefSeq, a predicted model, not a curated record